Molecule: long non-coding RNA, 1752 nt
Filed under: Mytilus galloprovincialis (Mediterranean mussel)
Lineage: Eukaryota; Metazoa; Mollusca; Bivalvia; Mytilida; Mytilidae
Source: RNAcentral
GGGGCAUAAUCUGUGUCCCAUGGACCCAAUCAUGACAUUUAUUUAUUCAGAGAAUUUUGAAAGGAAUAAAUAAUGAAUAAUUUUUCAUAAUUUUUUUUCAUCUUUUAGAAAAGUCGUCUCCUGAAACAACUGAGACAAAUCUACCUAAAUUUGGCCACACUCAUCAUUAGGGUAUGUAUAUAUAGUUUUAAAUGUGUUUGAUGACCCUGCCAACCUACAUGGCAGACAUGGCUAAAAAUAGAAAAUAGGAGGAAAAUGCAGUGUUUACUUAUAUCUCUGAAACUAAAGCAAAAGUAUAACAGUUGCAUUAUUUCAUGCAUCAAUUGUAAAUGAGAAUAUCAGGUGAGCGAUAAAGGCCCAUUGGAGCCUCAACUUUCUAUAGCCAUUAUUGUUAUAGCUGGUCAGUGGUCAUAAACCUAUGAAAAUAAGUCAAUUAUUUAACCUCAGAGCACUACCAACAGAUUCUUAUCCAGUGUAUUUGAUCAUGUUGAUGAAUAAAUUUUAUUACAACUCGUUAACAGGGCAAGAUAUGGAAAUUUAUUUUUCUUCUGGUUUUAUAAUAUUAAGAAAAAACAAAGGAAAAUGAUAUUUUGAUAAACAUUAAACAUGUUGUUGUGGUUUUGUGCUCUCUUGAACCAUCAGAUUAUUACUGUACUGCAAUAAAAAAAAAACAUUAAAGAAUAUCAGGGAUUUACGGGAACUUGAAGUAAUUGAAAACUUGUUCAAAUCCCAAACUGCACUUUAACUUUACUUUGUAUCAACCAUUAAGUGUUGUGAAAUGUUUACACAAUGCUUGUUAACACCAAACACUGAUCAAGUCACUUUCGUCAUUCUCAUAUUAUCAUGAAUAUGUUACUUUUUUAAUAGGAAAAAGGAUAUAUAUUAGAGAUAUAUUUACAAGCAGGGACAUCUGUGUCCCAUGGACACAUUCUUGUUUUAUUUAUUACAUAUUUUAGUGUAUUAAAGUAAUUAUACUGCUUCCACCUUUCAAUAUUCUAACAAAGCUCUAUCUCAUUAAUGGAUAAAUAAAUGAUACUAGUCAUGACCUCAACAGAUAAUUUUUUUUCAGGUUCUCUGGUCGUAAGAACCUGUUGGCCACACACAUGAAGAUUUUCAUUGAUCCUGCUUUCAGCUAAAUAUCAGAAAAAUUAAGAACAAAGGAAAAUAUGCUGAAACUGUACAGUCACCGGUCAGGAUUAUUUCAGAAGUGAAAUUAUAAUACAAUUUAUUUUACUGGUUAAUUCCUUUGAUUUGUAAUUUUAAACAACACACAGAGGCUUUGCAUUAUUGUUUUACAAGAGAGACACCAAAAGAUGCGGUCAACAUUUAUCAUUUUUAUCAAAAUACGCCCAGGACAAACCAUGGAUACACUUAACUUGAAAUAUGGUGCUUUCAUACCAAAAUUGCCUGGAAGUAAAAGAAAUAAAGAACCAUUCAUGUCAGCAAUCAGGGGAUAAGAUGAAAGAAUGCAGAAUAAGGUACUGUAAUAUUCAGUCUUAAUAAGAGUCCUGCUUCUCUAUAUAUACAUAUGCUUUUUGUUAUGCCCCGUCGUAGCGGAGGGGGCAUUAAGUUUUAUCCUUGUAUGUUUGUACAUAAUAUUAGAUAUAAGAAGAUGUGGUAUGACUUCCAAUGAGACAACUCUCCAUCCAAGUCACAAUUUGUAAAAGAAAAACAAUUAUAGGUCAAAGUACAGUCUUCAACACAGAGCCUUGGAUCACACCAAACAGUAAGCUAUUAUUAAUUUAAGGACCC